RNAcentral lists this transfer RNA (71 nucleotides) under Candidatus Kaiserbacteria bacterium RIFCSPHIGHO2_01_FULL_51_33. RNAcentral describes it as "tRNA-Phe". It matches the Rfam family "tRNA". Rfam says of the family: Transfer RNA (tRNA) molecules are approximately 80 nucleotides in length. Their secondary structure includes four short double-helical elements and three loops (D, anti-codon, and T loops). The record is from RNAcentral. RNAcentral also lists the same sequence under 2 other names. Lineage: Bacteria; Candidatus Kaiseribacteriota.
GCUUGGGUAGUUCAAUGGUAGAACACGCCCCUGAAGAGGGUGAAACGGAGGUCCGAUUCCUCUCCCAAGCA